UGUGAGCUCGAUGAGUAGGGCGGGACACGUGGUAUCCUGUCUGAAUAUGGGGGGACCAUCCUCCAAGGCUAAAUACUCCUGACUGACCGAUAGUGAACCAGUACCGUGAGGGAAAGGCGAAAAGAACCCCGGCGAGGGGAGUGAAAAAGAACCUGAAACCGUGUACGUACAAGCAGUGGGAGCCUCUUUAUGGGGUGACUGCGUACCUUUUGUAUAAUGGGUCAGCGACUUAUAUUCUGUAGCAAGGUUAACCGAAUAGGGGAGCCGAAGGGAAACCGAGUCUUAACUGGGCGUUAAGUUGCAGGGUAUAGACCCGAAACCCGGUGAUCUAGCCAUGGGCAGGUUGAAGGUUGGGUAACACUAACUGGAGGACCGAACCGACUAAUGUUGAAAAAUUAGCGGAUGACUUGUGGCUGGGGGUGAAAGGCCAAUCAAACCGGGAGAUAGCUGGUUCUCCCCGAAAGCUAUUUAGGUAGCGCCUCGUGAAUUCAUCUCCGGGGGUAGAGCACUGUUUCGGCAAGGGGGUCAUCCCGACUUACCAACCCGAUGCAAACUGCGAAUACCGGAGAAUGUUAUCACGGGAGACACACGGCGGGUGCUAACGUCCGUCGUGAAGAGGGAAACAACCCAGACCGCCAGCUAAGGUCCCAAAGUCAUGGUUAAGUGGGAAACGAUGUGGGAAGGCCCAGACAGCCAGGAUGUUGGCUUAGAAGCAGCCAUCAUUUAAAGAAAGCGUAAUAGCUCACUGGUCGAGUCGGCCUGCGCGGAAGAUGUAACGGGGCUAAACCAUGCACCGAAGCUGCGGCAGCGACACUAUGUGUUGUUGGGUAGGGGAGCGUUCUGUAAGCCUG
RNAcentral lists this ribosomal RNA (851 nucleotides) under Escherichia coli. RNAcentral's name for it is "partial 23S ribosomal RNA". It matches the Rfam family "Bacterial large subunit ribosomal RNA", at positions 398 to 1251 of the family's 2925-position model. The record is from RNAcentral. Lineage: Bacteria; Pseudomonadati; Pseudomonadota; Gammaproteobacteria; Enterobacterales; Enterobacteriaceae.